AAAGUACUCCCUCCGUCCCAAAAUUCUUGUCUUAGAUUUGUAUAGAUGCGGAUGUAUCAAGUCACAUUUUAGUAUUAGAUACAUCCGUAUCUAGACAAAUCUAAGACAAGAAAUUGGGACAGAGGGAGUAGUUG
This is a non-coding RNA of Triticum aestivum (bread wheat), 134 nucleotides long. The record is from Rfam. Lineage: Eukaryota; Viridiplantae; Streptophyta; Magnoliopsida; Poales; Poaceae.